CCUCCGUUCUUCCGCCGUCUUUACUCUUCCACAAUUGUCUAAAUCCUUAUGGAGCAACGCCGCGUGGGUGAAGAAGGUCUUCGGAUCGUAAAACCCUGUUGUUAGAGAAGAAAGUGCGUGAGAGUAACUGUUCACGUUUCGACGGUAUCUAACCAGAAAGCCACGGCUAACUACGUGCCAGCAGCCGCGGUAAUACGUAGGUGGCAAGCGUUAUCCGGAUUUAUUGGGCGUAAAGGGAACGCAGGCGGUCUUUUAAGUCUGAUGUGAAAGCCUUCGGCUUAACCGGAGUAGUGCAUUGGAAACUGGGAGACUUGAGUGCAGAAGAGGAGAGUGGAACUCCAUGUGUAGCGGUGAAAUGCGUAGAUAUAUGGAAGAACACCAGUGGCGAAAGCGGCUCUCUGGUCUGUAACUGACGCUGAGGUUCGAAAGCGUGGGUAGCAAACAGGAUUAGAUACCCGGGUAGUC
Molecule: ribosomal RNA, 465 nt
Filed under: uncultured bacterium
Lineage: Bacteria
Description: partial 16S ribosomal RNA
Rfam family: Bacterial small subunit ribosomal RNA
Source: RNAcentral